GACAUGUUAGCUCAGUGGUUAGAGCGCCGUGUGAGUUACACGGAAGGUCAUGAGUUCGAAGGUCAUGAGUUCGAUUCUCAUACAAGUCA
RNAcentral lists this transfer RNA (89 nucleotides) under Daphnia galeata. It matches the Rfam family "tRNA". From Rfam's summary of the family: Transfer RNA (tRNA) molecules are approximately 80 nucleotides in length. The record is from Rfam by way of RNAcentral. Lineage: Eukaryota; Metazoa; Arthropoda; Branchiopoda; Diplostraca; Daphniidae.